Molecule: ribosomal RNA, 253 nt
Filed under: uncultured bacterium
Lineage: Bacteria
Description: partial 16S ribosomal RNA
Rfam family: Bacterial small subunit ribosomal RNA
Source: RNAcentral
UACAGGGGGUGCAAACGUUGCUCGGAAUUAUUGGGCGUAAAGCGCGCGUAGGCGGCUACUUAAGUCGGAUGUGAAAGCCCUUGGCUCAACUGAGGAAGUGCACCCGAAACUGAGUGGCUUGAGUACGAAAGAGGGUCGCGGAAUUCCCGGUGUAGAGGUGAAAUUCGUAGAUAUCGGGAGGAACACCGGUGGCGAAGGCGGCGACCUGGGUCGAUACUGACGCUGAGACGCGAAAGCGUGGGUAGCAAACAGG